Long non-coding RNA from Chinchilla lanigera (long-tailed chinchilla), 225 nucleotides. RefSeq lists it as uncharacterized. The transcript has 2 exons. The record is from RefSeq and is a predicted model, not a curated record. Lineage: Eukaryota; Metazoa; Chordata; Mammalia; Rodentia; Chinchillidae.
UUUCAAAGAAAGCAACUUGGUCAAGCAAUGGCUGUGACUCAUCCAAAUGGCUGGCACUGACAGAAGUACUAAGAGGCGCUGCAUGUGGUUCCAAGGUUAUAAACCAUCAUUGUGGAUGCCAUCCUGGAACGUGGUGCCAUAAAAAGAGAGAUCUUCAAACCCAUGGUAAAGUCUGCUGCCAACAGACCUGUCAUGGAUUCUACAAUGGACUGAUUCUAUUAACAU